Molecule: ribosomal RNA, 253 nt
Filed under: uncultured bacterium
Lineage: Bacteria
Description: partial 16S ribosomal RNA
Rfam family: Bacterial small subunit ribosomal RNA
Source: RNAcentral
UACGAAGGGGGCUAGCGUUGCUCGGAAUCACUGGGCGUAAAGCGCACGUAGGCGGCUUCUUAAGUCAGGGGUGAAAUCCUGGAGCUCAACUCCAGAACUGCCUUUGAUACUGAGAAGCUUGAGUCCGGGAGAGGUGAGUGGAACUGCGAGUGUAGAGGUGAAAUUCGUAGAUAUCUGGAGGAACACCGGUGGCGAAGGCGGCAUCCUGGACCAACACUGACGCUGAGGAGCGAAAGCCAGGGGAGCAAACGGG